Molecule: long non-coding RNA, 280 nt
Organism: Eriocheir sinensis (Chinese mitten crab)
Lineage: Eukaryota; Metazoa; Arthropoda; Malacostraca; Decapoda; Varunidae
Exons: 3
Source: RefSeq, a predicted model, not a curated record
UAUAUGGCUAAAAGUGUUUGCAAGACACUCCGCCAUGCCACUGGGAUCACUAACUGUUGACCCGUGCCCCAUCAGGACGUCAUUGUCUCCAGUCGUGUGGUCCAGUGAGUCACCGCUCUACCGCACGACAGUGACCCCAAGGAAGUCCCGGUCCACAGCAUGGAUGUGGCCACCCCUGGCCACAGCCCCAAGUGUUCCCUGGUGGGCCAUACUCACUGAGCUCCUCCUCCUCCUCCUCACCCGGCUGCCGUGGAAGGUGAGGGAGAGAGAGAGGGACUUU